RNAcentral lists this ribosomal RNA (274 nucleotides) under uncultured bacterium. RNAcentral's name for it is "partial 16S ribosomal RNA". It matches the Rfam family "Bacterial small subunit ribosomal RNA", at positions 523 to 796 of the family's 1533-position model. The record is from RNAcentral.
AUACGGAGGGUGCAAGCGUUAUUCGGAAUCACUGGGCGUAAAGGACGCGUAGGCGGGUUGGCAAGCCAGAUGUGAAAUCCUACAGCUUAACUGUAGAACUGCAUUUGAAACUGCUAACCUAGAGUAUGGGAGGGGCAGAUGGAAUUAGUGGUGUAGGGGUAAAAUCCGUAGAUAUCACUAGGAAUACCGAAAGCGAAGGCGAUCUGCUGGAACAUAACUGACGCUAAGGCGUGAAAGCGUGGGGAGCAAACAGGAUUAGAAACCCUAGUAGUCC